RNAcentral lists this transfer RNA (74 nucleotides) under Pseudomonas oryzihabitans. RNAcentral's name for it is "tRNA-Lys". The stretch from base 13 to 71 matches the Rfam family "tRNA". Rfam says of the family: Transfer RNA (tRNA) molecules are approximately 80 nucleotides in length. Their secondary structure includes four short double-helical elements and three loops (D, anti-codon, and T loops). Further hydrogen bonds mediate the characteristic L-shaped molecular structure. tRNAs have two regions of fundamental functional importance: the anti-codon, which is responsible for specific mRNA codon recognition, and the 3' end, to which the tRNAs corresponding amino acid is attached (by aminoacyl-tRNA synthetases). tRNAs cope with the degeneracy of the genetic code in two manners: having more than one tRNA (with a specific anti-codon) for a particular amino acid; and 'wobble' base-pairing, i.e. permitting non-standard base-pairing at the 3rd anti-codon position. The record is from RNAcentral. Lineage: Bacteria; Pseudomonadati; Pseudomonadota; Gammaproteobacteria; Pseudomonadales; Pseudomonadaceae.
GGGUGCAGUGAUGGGUCAAAAGCAAUUGGCUUUUAACCAAUUGGUCGCAGGUUCGAAUCCUGCACGACCCACCA